This 253-nucleotide ribosomal RNA is filed under the name uncultured bacterium. RNAcentral's name for it is "partial 16S ribosomal RNA". It matches the Rfam family "Bacterial small subunit ribosomal RNA", at positions 524 to 776 of the family's 1533-position model. The record is from RNAcentral.
UACGUAGGGUGCAAGCGUUGUCCGGAAUUAUUGGGCGUAAAGAGCUCGUAGGCGGUUCGUCGCGUCGGCUGUGAAAACCCGAGGCUUAACCUCGGGCCUGCAGUCGAUACGGGCAGACUAGAGUUCGGUAGGGGAGACUGGAAUUCCUGGUGUAGCGGUGAAAUGCGCAGAUAUCAGGAGGAACACCGGUGGCGAAGGCGGGUCUCUGGGCCGAUACUGACGCUGAGGAGCGAAAGCGUGGGGAGCGAACAGG